AGGGAAUACUGAUCCUGAGCAAAUAUUGUAUGUAGCUUGCUGGUUAAAGAGCGCUGUUGGGGAUGAAGGGGUGCGAAUUUGUAAGGUACAGAGGAAGAAAGAGGGAAAUGAAGGAGGGGGUGAUAGGACUAGGAAAAGAUGGGACCCCCUGGAUUAUCUGCCUCCUUCUGCCCCUCCACCUUAUAAUCCUCUUCUUCAAGCACCUCAAAUGGAAGGUCCAGUUCUUCCCCCGGCUGCCAUCUCAUUACCACCUGUUCAAACUCCGCCUUCUACCUCUUCAGCUUCUGCUAUGAUAAACCCAGUACCUCCUCCAGUAACCACUCCCUCACAACCCCCUUCAGCUCCUCCAGUUCCUUCUGCAUCACCACAAGUGCCUACUACACCUGCUGCAUUCUCUACCCCUUUUCCAGCUGCACUUAAUAUCCACUCAGGCUCUUCUCCCCCUCCUAUUGCUGUCCCUUUACCUCCUCCUAGUUGGGGCACAAAUGCCUCCUCACCCAGUAAACGGCUAUCAGCAAAUACACCUGCUGAUGGGCAGAAAAUUCAGGGUAACCCAGAUAUCCCUCAAAGUAGUUUGGCAUCUGAAGAUGGGCCAUACUGUAGCACCAGAUCCAAGACCUCCAAGGCAGAGAGACUCUUUCCCCUCAAAGAAGUUCCUAUGGGAGGAGUAGCGGGAGGUGUUGGCUUUGUGAAUGCUCCCCUAAUUGCUUCUGAGGUGAGAGGAUUCAAGAAAGAGUUGGGGCAUUUAGUUGAGGACCCAGUGGGAAUAGCCAACCAAGCAGAUCAAUUUCUAGGUCCAAAUAUCUACACUUGGGGGGAGAUUAAUUCCAUCCUGAGUAUAUUAUUUUCGCCAGAAGAAGUCCACAUGAUUAGGGCGGCUGGCAUAAGAAUUUGGGAGAAAGAUAACCAUCCAGGACCCCAGGUGCCAUCAGGUGAACAGAAAUUGCCACUAACGGAUCCCAGCUGGAACCCUAACCAGGAGGAGGGGAGGAAGGCCAUGAAGGAAUAUAGGUCUUUGAUAAUACAGGGGAUCAAAGAGUCAGUUCCCAAAAGAACUGACACCCAAUUGGCAUUUGAGGGUACACAAGAGAAGGAUGAAGCUCCUGCUGCCUGGCUUAAUCGCC
Molecule: long non-coding RNA, 1124 nt
Filed under: Junco hyemalis (dark-eyed junco)
Lineage: Eukaryota; Metazoa; Chordata; Aves; Passeriformes; Passerellidae
Description: lncRNA (ENSJHYG00000010461.1)
Source: RNAcentral